This 1256-nucleotide long non-coding RNA is filed under the name Equus caballus (horse). RNAcentral describes it as "lncRNA (ENSECAG00000029654.2)". The record is from RNAcentral. Lineage: Eukaryota; Metazoa; Chordata; Mammalia; Perissodactyla; Equidae.
AUUGAUUGGGCCUCAGAUAAACUAAAAAUAAAAUGCAAAUCCCUAUGCUCUUCUGAGGUUGUCUGUCUCAGGACUAAAUUUAAAGAUUUAAAGGAGUUUUUCCCUUGGGAAGGGUAGGCAUGGAGGGGCUAUGUAGCAGAAAAGAUGUCAGUUCUCCGUUUUUUUCCCAAGGACUUUCACAGGAAACUGGUGGAGACACAGCCUAGGUUUACACAGUCUUAGAUUAAUUCCACAGCCUGAAUAAUCUGGAGGAAAAGGUGAACUAGAUCAGAGAAAGUCCUAACACUCUAAGAGGAAAUGCAUGGAAUCUAUGCAAGCAAGCACAGAAAAAUAAGCUUUACAUCCAAAUAAACAAGGAAAAAUUUUGAAGGGUAAAACGACAAAUUCAAUCAACUGCACAGUGGCUUCAUGAAGGACAAGCAUGUGUCUUCCAAGGAGGUCUGCAUUCAGAUUAUGAGCAGCUCUUUUGGAAGAUAGGAGGAAAGAAUGGAUAUAAAAUCAUUUCAGAAAUUUCUAGCUUUCUGAAAGAAAUUUUACUUUUAAAGAAAAAUAGCCUAAUAGAAACCACAUGGGAAUGAGCACAUCCAGUACUAUGGAGAAAAAGUGACCGUGGCUGUCCACACAUAUAGCGUGUUCUGGAUCCAAUUCCUCUUAAUUCCUUCUUGGUAACACUAAUGCUGGUAAACGAGCAUGCUUGAUGGAAUGCCAAGAGUAAUGAUGACAUUGAGCUGUCACCGUGUGCCAGACAUUGAACUGUUUCAUCCAGAUCAUCUCAAUCACUCCUUACAACAAGCCUUUUGAGAUCUUCAACUGUCACCCCUAGUCUACUGAAUCCAUAUUUUGCCAUAAUUUUGGCUACUCUCAUGUUGGCCCUGAUCAUCAUUGGAGUCCCAGGAAUUUCAAACUCUGCUUCAAGAGAAAUGUGGACACCUUGGGGAAAAUUAACAGACUUUCAUGGUCAUAGAGCAUCUACUCCUUUCAGAAUGCCAGCAAAUGCACACAAGAGCUCCCAAACACUUCUUACAAUCAGGGGCAAGAUGCCCUUCCAUGCACCAAAAACCAAGGUGGAAAAGCUCCUGCCAACCUGAGCAGCACAAGGCAGAGGGGAGGCAGCGGCUGACCUCCUGGGCAACCUGCAAUGACAACCUGACAGCAGACCGGCUGGACUCUCCAGACUGCCGCCAGAUAUGUCACGGGAUGCUUCUCAGGCUCAAGAAUUUAAUAUUCUUUACAGAAAAUAAAGAGUUGGAUUCUGA